AGGGUUUGAUUAUGGCUCAGAACGAACGCUGGCGGCAGGCCUAACACAUGCAAGUCGAGCGCGCCUUCGGGCGAGCGGCGGACGGGUUAGUAACGCGUGGGAACGUGCCCAGAUCUACGGAAUAGCCACUGGAAACGGUGAGUAAUACCGUAUACGCCCUUAGGGGGAAAGAUUUAUCGGAUUUGGAUCGGCCCGCGUUAGAUUAGGUAGUUGGUGGGGUAACGGCCUACCAAGCCUACGAUCUAUAGCUGGUUUUAGAGGAUGAUCAGCAACACUGGGACUGAGACACGGCCCAGACUCCUACGGGAGGCAGCAGUGGGGAAUCUUGGACAAUGGGGGCAACCCUGAUCCAGCCAUGCCGCGUGAGUGAAGAAGGCCCUAGGGUCGUAAAACUCUUUCGCCUGUGAUGAUAAUGACAGUAGCAGGUAAAGAAACCCCGGCUAACUCCGUGCCAGCCGCCGCGGUAAUUC
RNAcentral lists this ribosomal RNA (470 nucleotides) under uncultured bacterium. RNAcentral describes it as "bacterial SSU rRNA". It matches the Rfam family "Bacterial small subunit ribosomal RNA", at positions 8 to 526 of the family's 1533-position model. The record is from RNAcentral.